CUGCCGCAGCCACUACCACAUCCGCCGCCGCCGGUCUUCACCAUGCUGCCACCACAUCCACCGCCGCAGCCACUACCACAUCCGCUGCCACAUCCACUGCCGCCGGUCUUCAUCAUGUUGCCACCACAUCCACUGCCGCAGCCACUGCCGCAGCCGCUGCCACUUUGCUCUUUGAGCAACAAUGUGGUUGGUUUUAGUACCUCAUCCGUCUCGUUUGACAGUUUCGGGUUUAGAGUGAAGCUUUCGUAUUCUUUGGUGUCUAGUAUGUUGGAGAGUAUAAAGGCUGAUACAAUCCCAGGCAACACCAGCCAUGCUUCAUUCACCUGGUAAUUUGUUUUAAAGUUAAAAAAAAACACAAAAGGC
Molecule: long non-coding RNA, 363 nt
Filed under: Linum usitatissimum (flax)
Lineage: Eukaryota; Viridiplantae; Streptophyta; Magnoliopsida; Malpighiales; Linaceae
Description: long non-coding RNA (LUSI_LNC001716)
Source: RNAcentral